AACGAACGCUGGCGGCAUGCCUAACACAUGCAAGUCGAACGAGACCUUCGGGUCUUUUGGCCCACGGGUUCGUAACGCGUGGGAACCUUCCCUUAUGGUCGGAAUAACUCCCAGACAGGGGUGAUAAUAGCAGAUAAUGUCUUCUGACCAAGGAUUUAUUGCCUUCGGAUGGGCCCUCGUUGGAUUAGCUGGUUGUUAGGGUAAAAGCAUACCAAGGCGACGAUGCAUAGAUUGUCUGUGAGAAUGAUCAGCCACACUGGGACUGAGACACGGCCCAGAAUCCUACGGAAGGGAGCAGUGGGGAAUAUUGGAAAACGGGCGGAAUGCUGAUCCUGUACUGCCGGGUGAGUGAUGAAGGCAUUAGGGUUGAAAAGCUCAAUUACCCGGGAUGAUAAUGACAGUACCGAGAGAAUAAGCCCCGGCUAACUCCGUG
RNAcentral lists this ribosomal RNA (433 nucleotides) under uncultured bacterium. RNAcentral describes it as "partial 16S ribosomal RNA". It matches the Rfam family "Bacterial small subunit ribosomal RNA", at positions 29 to 507 of the family's 1533-position model. The record is from RNAcentral.